GCGCAGGCCUGACCCAGCAACGCCGCGUGAGGGAAGAAGGCUUUCGGGUUGUAAACCUCUGUCCUUGGUGACGAAACAAAUGACGGUAGCCAAGGAGGAAGCCCCGGCUAACUACGUGCCAGCAGCCGCGGUAAUACGUAGGGGGCGAGCGUUGUCCGGAAUUACUGGGCGUAAAGGGUGCGUAGGUGGCCUUUUAAGUUGGAUGUGAAAUACCCGGGCUUAACCUGGGGGGUGCAUCUAAUACUGGGAGGCUAGAGUGCAGGAGAGGAAAGCGGAAUUCCUAGUGUAGCGGUGAAAUGCGUAGAUAUUAGGAGGAACACCAGUGGCGAAGGCGGCUUUCUGGACUGUAACUGACACUGAGGCACGAAAGCGUGGGGAGCAAACAGGAUUAGAUACCCUGGUAGUCCACGCGGUAAACGAUGAAUACUAGGUGUAGGGGGUAUCAACUCCCCCUGUGCCGGAGCUAACGCAAUAAGUAUUCCGCCUGGGGAGUACGGCCGCAAGGUUG
RNAcentral lists this ribosomal RNA (508 nucleotides) under Clostridium sp. enrichment culture. RNAcentral's name for it is "bacterial SSU rRNA". It matches the Rfam family "Bacterial small subunit ribosomal RNA", at positions 375 to 896 of the family's 1533-position model. The record is from RNAcentral. Lineage: Bacteria; Bacillati; Bacillota; Clostridia; Eubacteriales; Clostridiaceae.